Molecule: long non-coding RNA, 947 nt
Organism: Solanum tuberosum (potato)
Lineage: Eukaryota; Viridiplantae; Streptophyta; Magnoliopsida; Solanales; Solanaceae
Exons: 2
Source: RefSeq, a predicted model, not a curated record
GCUCCUCUUUGCAAUACCUGUGAUUUCAAUUUUUGCUGUGAAAAAAUAUAAAUUCAACAGCCCUUUUCAGUUGAACAACUACCAAAUGACCCCUAAAUCUUUGCUUGUUCUCUCGAAAUUCUCAACCCCAAAGUGAGAAUCAAUAGUAGUAGUAAUGAUAAUAAUAAUAAUUGUUGCAAAAAUUCUGAGGCUAUGAUGAUGAUUUUCUUCUUUCCCUGAGCAAAUCGAUAGCGCAUGAAAGAAAUCGGACCCAUAUCUUGGCGGGGGCAACCUGGAUUUCAGGUUACCUUGCAAUCGGUGCUUGCUGCCCUGGCGGUGAUUCCAGUCUCUCUUGCCAUGUUCUGCGAAAUUCGCAGGUCGAAGAACUCAUGAGAAUUUCUCCGUUCAAGGAAAAAAAGCUUAGCUUAGAGACGAAGAAUGAGGGUUGCAGAGAGUAGAGGGGAACAUUUCAAAGGGCUGUUUCUCCGCUCUGCAAUACCUGUGAUUACAAUUUUUGCUAUGAAAAAACAUGAAUUCAACAGCCCUUUUCAGUUAAACAACUACCAAACGACCCCUUAAUCUUUGCUUGUUCUCUCGAAACUCUCAACCCCAAAGUGAGACUCAAUAGUAGUCAUAAUAAUAAUAAUUGGCGAAAAUUCCGAGGCUAUGAUGAUGAUUUUCUUCUUCCUCUGAGCAAAUCGAUAGUGCAGGAAAGAGAUUGUACCUGUAUCUUGGCGUGGCAAUCCAGAUGACAGGUUACCCUGCAACCGGUGCUUGCAGGCAUGGCGAUGAUUCCAGUGUAUCUUGCCGGAUCGUCAGUAUUACAAAUCUGAGCCUCAAUGUUUGAUUUGCUUAGGGUCUAUUGAAAAUCGCUUCUUGACCUCCACAAGGUGGAGGUCAAAUUAUACUGGGUUGUUGUUGUUGCAGUUGGGAAAUUCGCAGGUCGAAACACAUAUGAGAAUUUCCCA